RNAcentral lists this ribosomal RNA (274 nucleotides) under uncultured bacterium. RNAcentral describes it as "partial 16S ribosomal RNA". It matches the Rfam family "Bacterial small subunit ribosomal RNA", at positions 523 to 796 of the family's 1533-position model. The record is from RNAcentral.
AUACGGAGGGUGCAAGCGUUAUCCGGAAUCACUGGGUUUAAAGGGUGCGUAGGCGGCGCUAUAAGUCAGAUGUGAAAGCCCACCGCUUAACGGUGGAACUGCAUUUGAUACUGUAGUGCUUGAAUCAGGCUGAGGUCAGCGGAAUGUGUCAUGUAGCGGUGAAAUGCAUAGAUAUGACAUAGAACACCAAUUGCGAAGGCAGCUGGCUAGACCUGAAUUGACGCUGAGGCACGAAAGCGUGGGGAGCGAACAGGAUUAGAUACCCUAGUAGUCC